This 468-nucleotide ribosomal RNA is filed under the name uncultured bacterium. RNAcentral's name for it is "partial 16S ribosomal RNA". It matches the Rfam family "Bacterial small subunit ribosomal RNA", at positions 28 to 507 of the family's 1533-position model. The record is from RNAcentral.
GACGAACGCUGGCGGCGUGCUUAACACAUGCAAGUCGAACGGAAAGGCCCUGCUUUUGUGGGGUGCUCGAGUGGCGAACGGGUGAGUAACACGUGAGUAACCUGCCCUUGACUUUGGGAUAACUUCAGGAAACUGGGGCUAAUACCGGAUAGGAGCUCCUGCUGCAUGGUGGGGGUUGGAAAGUUUCGGCGGUUGGGGAUGGACUCGCGGCUUAUCAGCUUGUUGGUGGGGUAGUGGCUUACCAAGGCUUUGACGGGUAGCCGGCCUGAGAGGGUGACCGGCCACACUGGGACUGAGAUGCGGCCCAGACUCCUACGGGAGGCAGCAGUGGGGAAUAGUGCACAGUGGGCGGAAGCCUAAUGCAGCAACGCCGCGUGCGGGAUGACGGCCUUCGGGUUGUAAACCGCUUUCGCCUGUGACGAAGCGUGAGUGACGGUAAUGGGUGAAGAAGCACCGGCUAACUACGUG